AUGGCUAUGGAAAACAGCCUUCAGGCAGUUGGAAUAGAAAGCAGCCCAACGGAGAGUUCACUGGACACACAGGCCCAUCAGGAAUCACCCAGCACAAUGCUAAAUGGGAUGGUCAAUGAUGCCGCGACAGAAGAAUGCGGAGAAAGAGAGUUAAUUCCUCACGAUGGACUGAGAGGACAGAGCAUCAUCAGCCAGGCCUCUAAUUAGGCUCCCGGUUUUCAAAACGUCAGUCGUGAAGCGCAACAUUGGCUAAAUCAAUAGGACAUAGUGCAAAUACAUAUGGUGUGUUGCUAGAAACAAAUAAUUAUGCAAAAAGCCAGCAUUCGCACGAUGAGGCGAAACACGGUUUUAAAGAGCAUUUGGCCAGGUUUUAGAAUGCGACAGAAAGAUCUGGCUCCUAAAUAAAAGGCUGUGUAGUACAUAUUCAAAAACACCACCCCAACUCAAAGUGUAAAUAUUUAUCAGACCAAUCACCUCCCUCUCACAUUUGUCCUAAUAAAUCAUUUCUGCUUUCUAUUUAGUGCUUUCAUUAUGAGCCGUAAUCUGCCUGAAAGCGGCUCUGCACACUGGGGAGGAAAUAAAGGUUUGAUCUGAAUAUAGACUGAAUUUGCCCAACAUUAUCCAUGCUAACACACCAUUGACAUUAGAGCAGAAAGAGAUGACUUGCCUUUCAUCUGUAACAGCCGUCUAAUGCUAAAUGACAGAAAGAUGAUCUUAGAUGCAGGCUAUUGUAAGGUGAUCACUAAAAAUAAUAAGGAAAAAUGAAUGCUAACUGCAUUACAAUCACAUUUCUUUUAGUUUCAUAACUCUUUACUGAAAUGGGGAAAAAAAAACCUGUCCACUUCUUAUAUAUUGAUAAAGAAAAAUGUAAUGUAAAGCUACAAUACAACUUUAAAGAAAAAUAAAAAUGCUACAAUUUGCUAAGAAUUGUAGCUAAACUGAAAGAUUCACUGCUUAGUGUCACUCCUGUCCGAAACUGGCUUUGUAUGCAUUCAAAGGAAUUAUUUCAUUAGAUAUCAUUAUGCUUCGUUUAUAUGUAAAAAGCAAAACAUAUUUUAAAUAUCAGUCCAUAUAUGUGCACACAUUGUCCAGUGUCUCUGGUUUCUAUACCUAUUCCUGUCUGACAGUGAACAUUUAGCAGUCAGUUUUAGGGUUGUAGGGUGUACCCUUCAACAAACGGCCUCAAAAUAGUCACUUACAAAAUGAGAAAAGGGUGUUUCCUCAUACCCAGAGAGAGAGAGAGUUUGCCGUCUUCUUAUUUGACACAAAUUGUCUGUGCACUCUAAAGAAAAUGCAGUGUCCUGCCAAGUUGACCACAUAUUUACUGUUUACUGCUGGCUGUUGCACAUGUGGUUUUAGCAUACGCUCUCCUCUCCCAGUUAAAUCAUCUGUGGUCCCUGGGCUUUCUUCUGACAUACGCUGCAUUGGCACUGCUGCAGCAGCUUAAAUUUUUCAAGCAAAGAAA
Cyprinus carpio carpio is the source of this 1465-nucleotide long non-coding RNA. The record is from Ensembl. Lineage: Eukaryota; Metazoa; Chordata; Actinopteri; Cypriniformes; Cyprinidae.